Molecule: long non-coding RNA, 525 nt
Organism: Ailuropoda melanoleuca (giant panda)
Lineage: Eukaryota; Metazoa; Chordata; Mammalia; Carnivora; Ursidae
Exons: 4
Source: RefSeq, a predicted model, not a curated record
CAUCUCAAACUAGGACCUCAGACAAGGAUAAAAAACAGGGACAAGCAAAAAUGCUAUUGUUGCUGGAGUGUAAUGAGGACAUAGGAAGGUCGAUUCCAUAAAAGAUGCUUUCCUCAUAUAAAUUAUAAACACUGCAGAGGGACAAGUUAGAGAGGUCAUUUAUUGUUUUGGUAACCCAGCACGUGAACAUCAUUUUUUUUUCCCAAGGGAAAAAUAAGGAAUGGAGGGCUCUGAUUCGCAGCAUGGAAGCUGAAAAGGAAUGACAGUCUUUCUGACAGGGGUAGGGGCAACACUUUCGUCCUACGAACCCAAAUGAAGAAGGCAUUUGGAGCAGAGCCAUAAAACAGAGCUGCAGCAGAAUCUGGCAGAUUUUGCAGUUGCCAGAAAACCUCCAAGACAGGACAUGAACCUCAGUUCAUAAUUAUACCUCCGUCAGUGUGAUUAUUUGAUUGAUACCUGAAUGUCCCAUUUCACAGUCAGCUCCAUGUGUCUGUUUGUACUCACCAUGGCAUCCGAGAGCCUAAG